CCUACACCUUCACCUUCACCUUCACCUUCUGCCUCAUCAUCAUCAGGCAAAUCCAGGGUGAGCAGGAAAUCCUUUCAAGCUGGACCAAACUAUCCACAUCCAGCCAAAGAUGAUGAGAUGCCAUUGGCGGGCGAAGUGUCUGAAAAAUGUCAAAGUAAAAAAGGUUCAUCACAAGCCAAGAGAAAAAAGUGGUCAGACGAGGAAAUCCAGGCUGUUGAGGAGACGCUCAUGGACUGCAUCAUGAGAAGAAAGGUUCCUGGUAAAGCCCAGUGUCUGCAGUGUAUAAAUACUUCACCCACAGCCCUUCAAGACAGGAGUUGGGAGGCAGUUAAGUUCUAUGUGAAAAAUCGCAUUGAUGCUGAAAAGCGGGAAUCCCUG
Long non-coding RNA from Notolabrus celidotus (New Zealand spotty), 378 nucleotides. RefSeq lists it as uncharacterized. The record is from RefSeq and is a predicted model, not a curated record. The transcript is spliced from 4 exons. Lineage: Eukaryota; Metazoa; Chordata; Actinopteri; Labriformes; Labridae.